AAUCCAUGCAUCUGAGAUUUCUGAAAUAGUUCUUUAUAUCAUUCCCAAGCAUCAUAUAGUGUUUCAUCCUCUCAUUGUCGAAAAGAUGUGAUUUCAUUUCUAAGCUU
RNAcentral lists this small nucleolar RNA (107 nucleotides) under Gossypium hirsutum (cotton). Its description in RNAcentral is "Plant small nucleolar RNA R71". It matches the Rfam family "Plant small nucleolar RNA R71". From Rfam's summary of the family: R71 is a member of the C/D box family of snoRNAs containing the C (UGAUGA) and D (CUGA) box motifs. Multiple nearly identical copies of this snoRNA have been identified in Arabidopsis, and it is thought to function as a 2'-O-ribose methylation guide for 18S ribosomal RNA. The record is from Rfam by way of RNAcentral. Lineage: Eukaryota; Viridiplantae; Streptophyta; Magnoliopsida; Malvales; Malvaceae.